Molecule: long non-coding RNA, 109 nt
Organism: Leucoraja erinaceus (little skate)
Lineage: Eukaryota; Metazoa; Chordata; Chondrichthyes; Rajiformes; Rajidae
Exons: 4
Source: RefSeq, a predicted model, not a curated record
GAAAAAAAAUUGCACCUGAAAGAUGCAGAGCUGGCCGUACAGUGCAAAACGGAUGAUCAAAGGGUGAGAUCCCUCAAAACAGAUCUUCAAGAGAUUCGUCUAAGAACAC